GGUUAAGCGACUAAGCGUACACGGUGGAUGCCCUGGCAGUCAGAGGCGAUGAAGGGCGUGCUAAUCUGCGAUAAGCGCCGGUAAGGUGAUAUGAACCGUUAUAACCGGCGAUACCCGAAUGGGGAAACCCAGUGUGAUUCGUCACACUAUCAUUAACUGAAUCCAUAGGUUAAUGAGGCGAACCGGGGGAACUGAAACAUCUAAGUACCCCGAGGAAAAGAAAUCAACCGAGAUUCCCCCAGUAGCGGCGAGCGAACGGGGAGGAGCCCAGAGCCUGAAUCAGCAUGUGUGUUAGUGGAAGCGUCUGGAAAGGCGCGCGAUACAGGGUGACAGCCCCGUACACAAAAGCGCAUGUGCUGUGAGCUCGAUGAGUAGGGCGGGACACGUGGUAUCCUGUCUGAAUAUGGGGGGACCAUCCUCCAAGGCUAAAUACUCCUGACUGACCGAUAGUGAACCAGUACCGUGAGGGAAAGGCGAAAAGAACCCCGGCGAGGGGAGUGAAAAAGAACCUGAAACCGUGUACGUACAAGCAGUGGGAGCCCCACCACCAAAGCAUUCUCUGGUGUUGAAGGCCCUGCAAAGCAGCAUCGCGGUGGCGGAGCGUCGUUUGCGACGCCCAACGCACAAAACAAGCGGUGAGUGCUUUGGGGUGGGGUGACUGCGUACCUUUUGUAUAAUGGGUCAGCGACUUAUAUUCUGUAGCAAGGUUAACCGAAUAGGGGAGCCGGAGGGAAACCGAGUCUUAAUUGGGCGUUAAGUUGCAGGGUAUAGACCCGAAACCCGGUGAUCUAGCCAUGGGCAGGUUGAAGGUUGGGUAACACUAACUGGAGGACCGAACCGACUAAUGUUGAAAAAUUAGCGGAUGACCUGUGGCUGGGGGUGAAAGGCCAAUCAAACCGGGAGAUAGCUGGUUCUCCCCGAAAGCUAUUUAGGUAGCGCCUCGUGAAUUCAUCUCCGGGGGUAGAGCACUGUUUCGGCUAGGGGGCCAUCCCGGCUUACCAACCCGAUGCAAACUGCGAAUACCGGAGAAUGUUAUCACGGGAGACACACGGCGGGUGCUAACGUCCGUCGUGAAGAGGGAAACAACCCAGACCGCCAGCUAAGGUCCCAAAGUCAUGGUUAAGUGGGAAACGAUGUGGGAAGGCCCAGACAGCCAGGAUGUUGGCUUAGAAGCAGCCAUCAUUUAAAGAAAGCGUAAUAGCUCACUGGUCGAGUCGGCCUGCGCGGAAGAUGUAACGGGGCUAAACCAUGCACCGAAGCUGCGGCAGCGAACGUAUCACCCAAGACAACUUUACGGAGUUGACGAUUGACGGAGCGAAGCGACGUCAAAGCGUUCAUUAAAGUCGAGUUGGCUUAGGGAUACGUUCGUUGGGUAGGGGAGCGUUCUGUAAGCCUGCGAAGGUGGCCUGUGAGGGUUGCUGGAGGUAUCAGAAGUGCGAAUGCUGACAUAAGUAACGAUAAAGCGGGUGAAAAGCCCGCUCGCCGGAAGACCAAGGGUUCCUGUCCAACGUUAAUCGGGGCAGGGUGAGUCGACCCCUAAGGCGAGGCCGAAAGGCGUAGUCGAUGGGAAACGGGUUAAUAUUCCCGUACUUGGUGUUACUGCGAAGGGGGGACGGAGAAGGCUAUGUUGGCCGGGCGACGGUUGUCCCGGUUUAAGCGUGUAGGUGUGUGUUCCAGGUAAAUCCGGUUCACUUUAACACUGAGGCGUGAUGACGAGGCACUACGGUGCUGAAGCAACAAAUGCCCUGCUUCCAGGAAAAGCCUCUAAGCAUCAGGUAACAUCAAAUCGUACCCCAAACCGACACAGGUGGUCAGGUAGAGAAUACCAAGGCGCUUGAGAGAACUCGGGUGAAGGAACUAGGCAAAAUGGUGCCGUAACUUCGGGAGAAGGCACGCUGACACGUAGGUGAAGUGAUUUACUCAUGGAGCUGAAGUCAGUCGAAGAUACCAGCUGGCUGCAACUGUUUAUUAAAAACACAGCACUGUGCAAACACGAAAGUGGACGUAUACGGUGUGACGCCUGCCCGGUGCCGGAAGGUUAAUUGAUGGGGUCAGCGCAAGCGAAGCUCCUGAUCGAAGCCCCGGUAAACGGCGGCCGUAACUAUAACGGUCCUAAGGUAGCGAAAUUCCUUGUCGGGUAAGUUCCGACCUGCACGAAUGGCGUAAUGAUGGCCAGGCUGUCUCCACCCGAGACUCAGUGAAAUUGAACUCGCUGUGAAGAUGCAGUGUACCCGCGGCAAGACGGAAAGACCCCGUGAACCUUUACUAUAGCUUGACACUGAACAUUGAGCCUUGAUGUGUAGGAUAGGUGGGAGGCUUUGAAGUGUGGACGCCAGUCUGCAUGGAGCCGACCUUGAAAUACCACCCUUUAAUGUUUGAUGUUCUAACGUGGACCCGUUACCCGGGUUGCGGACAGUGUCUGGUGGGUAGUUUGACUGGGGCGGUCUCCUCCUAAAGAGUAACGGAGGAGCACGAAGGUUGGCUAAUCCUGGUCGGACAUCAGGAGGUUAGUGCAAUGGCAUAAGCCAGCUUGACUGCGAGCGUGACGGCGCGAGCAGGUGCGAAAGCAGGUCAUAGUGAUCCGGUGGUUCUGAAUGGAAGGGCCAUCGCUCAACGGAUAAAAGGUACUCCGGGGAUAACAGGCUGAUACCGCCCAAGAGUUCAUAUCGACGGCGGUGUUUGGCACCUCGAUGUCGGCUCAUCACAUCCUGGGGCUGAAGUAGGUCCCAAGGGUAUGGCUGUUCGCCAUUUAAAGUGGUACGCGAGCUGGGUUUAGAACGUCGUGAGACAGUUCGGUCCCUAUCUGCCGUGGGCGCUGGAGAACUGAGGGGGGCUGCUCCUAGUACGAGAGGACCGGAGUGGACGCAUCACUGGUGUUCGGGUUGUCAUGCCAAUGGCACUGCCCGGUAGCUAAAUGCGGAAGAGAUAAGUGCUGAAAGCAUCUAAGCACGAAACUUGCCCCGAGAUGAGUUCUCCCUGAGACUUAGAGUCUCCUGAAGGAACGUUGAAGACGACGACGUUGAUAGGCCGGGUGUGUAAGCGCAGCGAUGCGUUGAGCUAACCGGUACUAAUGAACCGUGAGGCUUAACCUU
RNAcentral lists this ribosomal RNA (3092 nucleotides) under Salmonella enterica. RNAcentral describes it as "23S ribosomal RNA". It matches the Rfam family "Bacterial large subunit ribosomal RNA". The record is from RNAcentral. RNAcentral also lists the same sequence under 1 other name. Lineage: Bacteria; Pseudomonadati; Pseudomonadota; Gammaproteobacteria; Enterobacterales; Enterobacteriaceae.